This is a long non-coding RNA of Carassius carassius (crucian carp), 822 nucleotides long. RefSeq lists it as uncharacterized. NCBI's taxonomy places the organism in Eukaryota, Metazoa, Chordata, Actinopteri, Cypriniformes, Cyprinidae. The record is from RefSeq and is a predicted model, not a curated record. The transcript is spliced from 3 exons.
GUCACAUCUCAGUGGAGUCAGCUGUCUUAACUGUCCGUGGCUUGUGUACUGCUGCAAACACAUACGAGCUUCAUCACUGUGUCUGUCACGCCACUCUGUUCCCCUUUUGGGCUUGAACUGAUGAUGACAGGUGUCAGCCCACCCCUUCUGCUGCGUCCCACAAUAUUGCAGCCCAUGACGUCAUGUGUGUUUCAGACAGACUGCAAUGUCACCUUGGAGAGGUCAUUGGUGGAAUAGUGCUGUUUUGGGAAAGGGACGGGAUAACAGAUUUGACCAACCAACACGUCUGGAUGUGAUUAAUUUAGGAAGAGUGGGUAACCUGGAGCUUUUUGGCUGAAUUUGGAGAGCAUUUCUUAGUGUGACAUCUGUGCUGAUCAUUUAAAGUGCAGUGCCUGUGGUCUCUCUGUCUCUGUCUCUGACUCUCGGUCUCUGCUCCUGCUGUGGGUUGUGAGCAUGACGCAGUCCAAGCCUCAGCUCGGCACACAUGGUGCAGAGGACUCUGGGACUGUAACCGGUUUAGUCGUGAACAGAAUUACAAAUGCUGCCAGCGGCACCCUGACAGCCCAUCAGUUCCAUGCAGGGCCGAGCUCAGCACGUUGGCCACCUCACAGUCCUCUCAUUGCACAUCUGAUGCUUUAAUUAGCAUAACUUACAAUGCUCUUUGAUAUUCCAAACCAAGAUGCUUUGGUUUAUAAGACAACCUCAGGUAUAAUCUUUGAGGAAUGCCUGAUGUAAGGAUAAUUCGUGGUAUUUGGGCAGUUAAAAUGCAACCGUUUUCAGUGAUGAACUGAUUUCAUCAUCCUUGCAAGAAUCUCUUUUAAG